AAGAGAACUCUAAAAAGGAAAAAAAUUAAAAAGGGAUAGUUAAAGAGAACUAAAUUUUGUAGCAACUGCUUGAUGGGGAACCUCUGUGGGAGAUCUGCUGAGUGCUCAGUUGCUGCUUCUUCCUCUUUUCAUGCAGGUACACAGAUUUUUUGCAUUUAACAUUAAGCCCUUUAAUUUCUUUUUCCUGUGUUUUCCAAACACUAAUGUUGUCUUAGAUAGUUGUUGAAUCAAACCAUGUUGUAUGAUUUUUUUUUUUUUUUUUUGUGGUCAUGUUUUGCAUGUAUCUGAUUGAGUUUAUUGCCAGUUUAUGUACUUUUCUAGAUAUGACUCUAAAAAAUAUAAAACUAAAUAAAUAAAUAAAUAAUUAAUUAAUUAGCUGCUAACUUCUUAGGAAUCGGAGCGUGCGCCGCACAAAUAUAUUCGGAGAUUUAGAUUGAUCAAGUUUAGUGUUCAAUCUAACUUAAAAUCAUUCUCCUUAAUCACUUUGAUAACAUUAUUAGCCUACUUGAUGCUUCCAAGUUUGUUGUGUCCAAGUUUAUAUCUAAUUCUCUCGCAUUUCGUAGUUCAAGUUGUAUAUAAAUUUUAAGAUAAAUCUUUAAGUUUCUUCGAGUCGAAACCGAUAACAACAGUUCAGCAAAUCUCCCUUUACCAUUCCCAGAUGAAACAUCACCUG
This 673-nucleotide long non-coding RNA is filed under the name Ananas comosus (pineapple). RNAcentral's name for it is "long non-coding RNA (ACOM_LNC024031)". Lineage: Eukaryota; Viridiplantae; Streptophyta; Magnoliopsida; Poales; Bromeliaceae. The record is from RNAcentral.